Molecule: ribosomal RNA, 537 nt
Filed under: uncultured Pseudomonas sp.
Lineage: Bacteria; Pseudomonadati; Pseudomonadota; Gammaproteobacteria; Pseudomonadales; Pseudomonadaceae
Description: bacterial SSU rRNA
Rfam family: Bacterial small subunit ribosomal RNA
Source: RNAcentral
CUCUUGAGAGCGGCGGACGGGUGAGUAAUGCCUAGGAAUCUGCCUGGUAGUGGGGGAUAACGUUCGGAAACGGACGCUAAUACCGCAUACGUCCUACGGGAGAAAGCAGGGGACCUUCGGGCCUUGCGCUAUCAGAUGAGCCUAGGUCGGAUUAGCUAGUUGGUGAGGUAAUGGCUCACCAAGGCGACGAUCCGUAACUGGUCUGAGAGGAUGAUCAGUCACACUGGAACUGAGACACGGUCCAGACUCCUACGGGAGGCAGCAGUGGGGAAUAUUGGACAAUGGGCGAAAGCCUGAUCCAGCCAUGCCGCGUGUGUGAAGAAGGUCUUCGGAUUGUAAAGCACUUUAAGUUGGGAGGAAGGGCAUUAACCUAAUACGUUAGUGUUUUGACGUUACCGACAGAAUAAGCACCGGCUAACUACGUGCCAGCAGCCGCGGUGAUACGUAGGGUGCAAGCGUUAAUCGGAAUUACUGGGCGUAAAGCGUGCGCAGGCGGUUAUAUAAGACAGAUGUGAAAUCCCCGGGCUCAACCUGGGA